Homo sapiens (human) is the source of this 817-nucleotide long non-coding RNA. The record is from Ensembl. Lineage: Eukaryota; Metazoa; Chordata; Mammalia; Primates; Hominidae.
ACACACAACACAGAAGACCAGAUCUCCUUAGCCUACACCAGAGAUUCUCAUGUGAGAAUUGCCCGAAUAUCUGCUUUAAUGAAUCCAAAAAGCUUAUCUGAUUUAAAAAUGAAGUUAAGAUGUCAAAGCCACUGUUGGAAUAGCAUGAGGAGUGCGAUUUGAUUCUGUGCAUCGAUAGACUCUGCAACCACGGAGUAGUCUUUUAACCUUUUUGAAAUUCGCAUGCACUAUGUCAAAAAGGGCUUUAUUACCAGGCUGACAUCUGGUGGUCCAGGGGAACAACAAGCAAUGCCUCCGAAUGUAAACCGAUUCACAAAUGCGGCUUUUUUUCCCAGUUUUCCCUUUGUCUUUUUGAAGUGCUUGAAAUUGCCACCAAACCAGUUAAUUACAUGGAAAUUCACAUAGAAUAACAAUUUAAACAGCAGAACAAUAAGGGUGAAGAAAGUGACCUUCACGUGAUGAAUUAUAUACAUAAGCAGACACUUCCAGCAGUUAGCAGCAGUCCAGAUGGCAAACACAGUGGGCAGAAGCAGGAACAAUUCAACUCUCCCCAUGCUUGGGAUUUAAAAAAACAACAACAAAAAAACCUCUCAAACACCUCCAAUUAAUUUACUAUGGUAUAUGCCACUAAUUACCAAAUCACAGAGGAACAGAGUGAUACACUGUCAGCCUUAUGAUGUUCAUGUUAUUUGUACAAUUUAUCCGUACAGAAAAAGGAAAAAGCACCUCUGAUUUUUCUCACAUUCAUCACUUAGCUACACCAUUCUAUAAUAUUUUGACCAAUGAAGAGUCUUAAUAAAUGGGCAUUUUGUGUUCA